RNAcentral lists this long non-coding RNA (645 nucleotides) under Homo sapiens (human). Its description in RNAcentral is "non-protein coding FAM238C:10". The record is from RNAcentral. Lineage: Eukaryota; Metazoa; Chordata; Mammalia; Primates; Hominidae.
AGUUAGUGCCUUCAGUGGGUGCCUUCAGUUGGUGGCAUUUGGUUGCCUUUCCUGGGGACAGGUGGCAGGUGCUCAGCUCUGCAGGGUGGGGGCAAUUGAAGGCCCAAGCUGCCCGAGAAGAGCGGAGUUGCCCCAUGGGGACCACGCUGGCCUGUAGCAUGUGCACCAAAGCCAGCCCCAGGCAGGGCCCCCACAGGGCUUCUGCGGAGCCAUCCUGAGGCUUUGACAUCUAUGAGUGGGCGGCCAGCAAAGGCGCAGGCCCCAGCACAGAGGAGCAGAGGCGGCCGGAACACCCUGUCCCUUGAUACCAGCCCCAAGCAGAGCCACCUCAGGAUAAGGUGUUUGGAGCCGUCCUGCAGCUCUGAGAUCCACGAGGUGGCGGUGGGAGUAGCACCAGACUCCACUGAUUUGGAGUCUGCCCUGUCUGAUUCAGGAGACAUGACUAGCAGCACAUCGGCACCAGAAGACGCCAGAAGAGACAGGGUUUCACUGUGUUGCCCAGGCUGGUCUCAAACCCCUGGCCUCAAGUGAUUCACUCACGUUGGCCUCCCGCUUUGUUGGGAUGACAGGCAAGAACCACCACACCUGGCCUUGGGAGCUGCUCCUGCUUUGUGUGUUUUGGCUGGUCUUCCUGCACAGCUGUCG